Molecule: ribosomal RNA, 700 nt
Filed under: uncultured bacterium
Lineage: Bacteria
Description: bacterial SSU rRNA
Rfam family: Bacterial small subunit ribosomal RNA
Source: RNAcentral
AGAGUUUGAUCAUGGCUCAGAUUGAACGCUGGCGGAAUGCUUUACACAUGCAAGUCGAGCGGCAGCGCGGGGCAACCUGGCGGCGAGCGGCGAACGGGUGAGUAAUGCAUCGGAACAUGUCCAUGUCGUGGGGGAUAGCCCGGCGAAAGCCGGAUUAAUACCGCAUACGCCCUUUGGGGGAAAGUGGGGGACCGCAAGGCCUCACGCGAUUGGGUUGGCCGAUGUCCGAUUAGCUAGUUGGCGGGGUAAAGGCCCACCAAGGCGAUGAUCGGUAGCUGGUCUGAGAGGAUGAUCAGCCACACUGGGACUGAGACACGGCCCAGACUCCUACGGGAGGCAGCAGUGGGGAAUUUUGGACAAUGGGGGCAACCCUGAUCCAGCCAUUCCGCGUGAGUGAAGAAGGCCUUCGGGUUGUAAAGCUCUUUUGUCCGGAACGAAACGGGUAGCGUGAAUAUCGCUGCCUACUGACGGUACCGGAAGAAUAAGCACCGGCUAACUACGUGCCAGCAGCCGCGGUAAUACGUAGGGUGCGAGCGUUAAUCGGAAUUACUGGGCGUAAAGCGUGCGCAGGCGGUUUUGUAAGCCAGAUGUGAAAUCCCCGGGCUUAACCUGGGAAUGGCAUUUGGGACUGCAAGGCUUGAGUGCGGCAGAGGAGACUGGAAUUCCUGGUGUAGCAGUGAAAUGCGUAGAUAUCAGGAGG